Molecule: long non-coding RNA, 919 nt
Organism: Gossypium raimondii (Peruvian cotton)
Lineage: Eukaryota; Viridiplantae; Streptophyta; Magnoliopsida; Malvales; Malvaceae
Exons: 4
Source: RefSeq, a predicted model, not a curated record
UAACAAACCCUAAAAAAUCAAACCAGCACCCAAUUCCAUUUAUGUGCUUCCUCCUUUCAAUGCUUCGAAGGAAAUCCACACACUCCACCCUCAUUAGAUGACUCGUACCUCUUUAAUGGCGGACUUAACUCGCAUUAUUUGUUGCCGGAUUUCUACCAUCUGUUUAUCUGAGCCCUUCUCAUGUCCUGAUUUUAAGUCCUAACCCCUCUGCUGCCUUCGGUGACACCAUUCCUAUCAUUCGCAUCGACCCUAACGACCACACUAGGUCCGAUCAUAUUCAGAUGAGUAUUUUCUCUAUAUUUUAACCCUUCUAUUGCUAGGGAAUAGGCCACUAAGUUUGCUUGUCUACUUGCAUGUUGAAAUCUACAAGAGAUAAAGUUCCUUCUCAUUCGUUUUGCAUCAGAAAUAAAGGCCCUUAUAUUUUAUCUAUCUUCAUCUUGUCUUUGUACUUUCCAAAAUAUAGAUAACGCAUCGCCUUCAAUUUCAACUCGUAGGAAACCAGAUUCUGCCCUAAAUCUCACUACUUGGACGCAUGCGAGAGCCUCGGCUGCAAAGCGUCGAAGUUAAUUUUUACAUUCAAUCCUUCCGGGGGUUUCCAGUUUUCCUUUUGUACUGGGUUCACAGGGACCAUCUAAAGCCCAACCUUGACCAAACUGCAACAGCAAAAGGGCAGUCCUUGAAUACAUGAUCUGUAGUUUCGGGAUAGUUGAUGCAUCUAGGGCAAUUACUACUACUGGCCAAUCUUCUUUGGAAAAAAUUAGAGAAAGUAGGUAGAUAAUUAUUUAGAGUUUUCUAGACUAGGAAUUUUGUUUUUGAGGGCAAAUCAAUCGACCAUAGUUUUUUGUACAGUGGCUUGUAAUAAUUGUGGUUAGCUUACAUAUUUGUUUGGCUUUUGGUCUAUAUUAAAAUUUUAUACCCA